UAAUAAGUGUUUUAUGGCACUUUUAAAUCCAUAUCCACCUUGUGUGCAAUGUCAGUCGAUCUUCUUUUCAUGGAGAUCGACCAAACAUCAACCUUUAUCUUUUAACUCUUUGUCUGAAAAAUAUUACGAUAAACAAUUCAAAUA
RNAcentral lists this unclassified non-coding RNA (144 nucleotides) under soil metagenome. Its description in RNAcentral is "partial internal transcribed spacer 1". The record is from RNAcentral.